RNAcentral lists this ribosomal RNA (2013 nucleotides) under Triticum aestivum (bread wheat). RNAcentral's name for it is "partial small subunit ribosomal RNA". Lineage: Eukaryota; Viridiplantae; Streptophyta; Magnoliopsida; Poales; Poaceae. The record is from RNAcentral.
AUGGUCAAGAGCAUACCGGAUACCUUCAUGUCAUUGCCCACUUAUUUGGAUUCAUUCACAUUCCCUCUCAUUGAAGAAGUACAUGCUGAUGUCUUUUCAUCAUUGGACGGUUAUGCCCAGGCAAACUUUAUAGAAAUAAUCUGGGUGGAGAAGUUUGAUGACGAGAAAUCAAUAUUCUGUUUUGAGGUUUCCGAGCCAUCAAAGUAUCAGAAGUUGAGGGAGACAUACAAUCCCAAAGAGGGGGACAUAAUAAUUUUGUCCUUGCAGAAACCACAGCAUGUGUCUGAUUUGAGACAAACUAAGGCAUCAUAUGUUUUCGGUUCAGUUCUGAAAUCUGGAGACAAAGAAGAUGGAGAUUUCCCAGCCAAUUUUUGCAUCGUUCGGUUUUCAUCCAAUAUUCCCGUUGAAGUAGACCCAGAAACAGGAACGCCUUUGGCGCCAUCAUUUGCUGUGUUUCUCAUAAAUAUGAUGACGUACAACCGUAUAUGGAAGUGCCUGCAUAUGGAAGCUUCUGAUAUCGCUAAUCUGGUGUGGCCAUACAAGCUAAAGGUAGUGCAUGAUACCUCGUCAUGCUCCCAGAUAUCCCAAUGCUUCACUCGUAAAUCUAUUGAUGGUCUUGGCCUUGAGAAGUUUGACUUAAAUGAUUCACAGCUGAAUGCAGUGGCAGACUGUGUCUCAGUAAUGGAGAACCACUCGCCUUCCCUAAAACUAAUACGGGGACCCCCUGGGACAGGUAAAACAAAAACCAUCAGCACUAUCCUGUGGGCAAUGCUCAUCAAGGGCGUAAAGACACUUACCUGUGCUCCGACAAAUACUGCUGUAUUGGAAGUUGCAUCUCGAAUUGUCAGGCUUGUUAGAGAGUCAUCAGAUGGUAGCGUCUGCUUUUUGAAUGACAUUGUCCUGUUUGGAAAUAAAGAGAGGAUGAAAAUAGAUGAUAGUCAUGAUCUUUCUACGGUAUUUCUUGACUCACGUGCAAAGCGGUUGUUGCCAUGUUUCGUACCACACAGUGGUUGGAGGCAUUGCUUGUGCUCACUGAUAGAUCUUCUUGAGAAUCCAGUGACCAAGUACAAAUUGCAUAUUGAGCAUAUUCUUACAAAAAGGGAGAUGAAAAAGGAGAUGUCUGAAAAGCAUGGGGACAAACCCCUCAUGUGCGAGGAUGGGCAUUGUUCGCCCCCAUGUUAUCCUUUAGGUCAGCUUGUCGCACCUUUCUCUCUGUUCUGCAAGACGAUCCAUAACAGGGCUGAAGACGAGGAAGAAGAGUGCCAUAAGGAAGGAUGGCAUGACUAUGAAGCUAUGAUGGAGGCAUUCAGAGAAGUACCAUUCAAGAAUUAUUUGAAAGAUAGAUACAACAAACUUUCUAAGGAUUUGCGCUGUUGCAUUGAGAAACUAUAUAAUGAUCAUCCAAGAAAAUCAGAAGCAGCGCAGAUCUUUCAGUGUAUGCUGGAAGUGCUUGAAUUAAUCAAAAUUCUCCAUCCUUUGAUAAAUCGUGACAGGGGUAAUGAUGACAUAUGGUCAGAGGAACUUCUUGAGGGCAAAGUAGAAGAGGACUGUAAUCCUGUUUCCUGGCCUGAGAAGCUAGCCUGUGUGCGGACUAACACAUGCAGUAAAUCCAAGUUCAAGCUGGCUAGAUCCCUGUGUGUGCAAGGAUUAAGAUAUCUUUGCAAAAACUUUAUUCUUCCAGAUUUUUACAGUAGGAGGGGAGUUCAAUUCUAUCUUCUGCAGAGAGCGGAAUGCAUUCUCUGUACAGUUUUCAGCUCUUUCAGAUUAUACAAUGUGACCAUGGAUAAUUCCCCUUCAUCAUCAGAUACAUGUUUGGUCAAGAAGCCUGAAAAUUUGAAUCUUGGCUUGCUAAUUGUCGACGAGGCUGCACAGCUCAAAGAGUGUGAGACCUUAAUUCCCUUGCUGCUGCCUGGCAUAAAGCAGGCUGUUUUUAUCGGAGACGAAUAUCAGUUACCUGCUCUGGUGAAAAGCAAAAUAUCUGACAAUGCUAAAUUCGGGCGAAGUGUUUUUUAG